RNAcentral lists this ribosomal RNA (433 nucleotides) under uncultured bacterium. RNAcentral's name for it is "partial 16S ribosomal RNA". It matches the Rfam family "Bacterial small subunit ribosomal RNA", at positions 29 to 507 of the family's 1533-position model. The record is from RNAcentral.
AACGAACGCUGGCGGCAUGCCUAACACAUGCAAGUCGAACGAGACCUUCGGGUCUAGUGGCGCACGGGUGCGUAACGCGUGGGAACCUGCCCUUAGGUUCGGAAUAACUCCCCGAAAGGGGUGCUAAUACCGGAUAAUGUCUUCGGACCAAAGAUUUAUCGCCUUUGGAUGGGCCCGCGUUGGAUUAGCUAGUUGGUAGGGUAAAAGCGUACCAAGGCGACGAUACAUAGCUGGUCUGAGAGGAUGAUCAGCCACACUGGGACUGAGACACGGCCCAGACUCCUGCGGGAGGCAGCAGUGGGGAAUAUUGGACAAUGGGCGAAAGCCUGAUCCAGCAAUGCCGCGUGAGUGAUGAAGGCCUUAGGGUUGUAAAGCUCUUUUACCCGGGAUGAUAAUGACAGUACCGUGAGAAUAAGCUCCGGCUAACUCCGUG